This 2547-nucleotide ribosomal RNA is filed under the name Triticum aestivum (bread wheat). RNAcentral's name for it is "partial small subunit ribosomal RNA". Lineage: Eukaryota; Viridiplantae; Streptophyta; Magnoliopsida; Poales; Poaceae. The record is from RNAcentral.
AUGAGCUGCAUAAGCUGGAACUGGCGGGGGCUUGGGAACCCCGAGGCAGUUCGCGAGCUUCGCAACAUUGUGAAGCAAGAAGGGCCCGUGCUGGUUUUUGUCAUGGAGACGAAGAUCAGCGGAAAGCGAGUCGAGGAUCUGCGGCAUACUCUAAGGUUUGCAGGCAGUUUUGCAGUAAAUAGCGACGGCCUCAGUGGAGGCAUAGGGCUGUUCUGGUCCAAUGACGUUAAGGUUGAGCUUAAAAACUUCAGCAAAAAUCAUAUUGAUGUGAUGGUUAGUUCAGACACCAUGGGCUUGAACGCGUGGAGCAGAACUGACCGCCCCGAGCAACAGAUGAGGGAGUUUCGAGAGGUCACGGAUGAGUGUGCUCUCCAAGAUCUUGGCUGGUCAGGUGUGGCCUAUACAUGGGACAACCGGCAAUCUGGAGAUGCCAAUGUCAAAGCACGGCUCGAUAGGGCCUUUGCUAAUGAGGAGUUUCGACAGAAGUUCGAACACACACGGGUCAGGCAUGUGUGUGCAGUGGAGUCAGAUCACUGUUUCAUUAUAGCUGAGUUCAGAAACCAAGCAUUUGCACAUAGACCACCGAGUUCCAAGCAGUUCCGUUAUGAGAACGUCUGGCAUUCUCACCAGGAUUACGAGCAGCUCAUUACUCAGACCUGGCGGGGACAGACACGAGUUUCAGGGCUGCAGGGAAUUAUGGACUCCCUAGGGCAACUUCAGCGACAACUCGAGCCCUGGGGGUCACGCGAGUUUGGCAGUUUGACAAGGACAGUCAGGAAUUUGCAGAAACGACUGGACAAGCUGCGCCAACGAUCGGUGGGGCGAGGCCCCACGGAUGAGGAGAAGAAUGUUAUGCAGAAGCUCCAAGAGGCGAUGCGCCUCGAGGAGAUUUGGCUGAGACAGCGUUCCCGAGCGGAGGACAAAGCUGAGAUCCAAGCUUUCUACCAAGCUCUGUAUACAUCGCAAGGUGCUAACGACACUAGCGCGCUAUUAUCGUAUGUUCCACCGAGGGUAACGCACGAGAUGAACGAGAUGCUAUGUAAACCAUAUGAGGCCGAGGAGGUGCACCAAGCAUUGUUCCAAAUGGCUCCAUCCAAAGCGCCCGGUGUGGAUGGUUUCACUGCUGGCUUCUUCCAACGUGAUUGGAAGCUACUGCGGGAGGAGGUGACUCAGGCGGUGCUUGCUUUUCUCAACGGUGGCGAAUUACCAAAGGUGCGCAAGGGUCUGACCUCCAACAUGGCAAAAUUCUGGUGGGAGAGUUCCAUUGACAGAAGAUCACUCCAUUGGAUCUCACGGGACAAGCUUGCAACACCAAAGUGUAAUGGCGGUAUGGGAUUCCGUGAUCUGCGGAUCUUCAACUUGGCAUUGUUAGGAAAGCAUGGAUGGCGCUUCAUGAUAAACCCUGAUUCCUUGUGUGCCAGGGUAAUGAAAGGGAGAUAUUUUCCUGACACAGACUUCAUGCAUGCCUCGGUACCCAACUCCUCCUCGGCGACGUGGAGAGCUAUUGUGGCAGGCCAUGAAGCCUUGCAGGCGGGACUGGUGAAGCGGGUCGGUAAUGGGUCCUUUAUAUCUGUAUGGGAGGACAAAUGGAUCCCUUCUACGGUUACAAUGUCACCGAUGCUACGACCAGCAAAUGGACAAUGUGGCAGCAAUUCUGAAUAUUCCGCUACGGCGGGAGGAGGCGAGGAUUUUCUCGCGUGGGCACAUGAGAAGUCAGGCAACUACUCUGUUAAAUCAGCAUACCGGGCUCUAGUGAAUCAAAAGGAGCGUCUAGCUCCAGAUGAAGGGCACGCUACCGGCACCUCAGUGAACCAACAACAGAUGUGGAACGCAAUCUGGAAACUCAAAGUCGUCCCGAAAGUGAGGGUGUUCUGGUGGCGGGUGAUGAGGGGCAUCUUACCUGAUGAAUGCAUCCUUAAACACCACCACAUAAGACAGAUCAACACUUGUAAAAUUUGCCUAGCCAUGGAGGAGGACUUGGAACAUGCACUACUGCACUGUUCGCAUGCGCGGAGGUUCUGGGAGGAAACAAGAUUGUUAUUUCAUGUGGAUCUACCUCGGCUCCAUCCUCUUACUUGGACAAAAGACAUACUAUGCAAUCAACGAUCCUAUGAGAAGGAUCGGGCGAUCUUCAUCACAGUGAUGCGGCAGGAGAUCAUGCUACCCGGCUUUGGCUGGGAGCCUCCUGACGAUCCUCAUAUCAAAAUCAAUACAGAUGCUGCGGUUCACCUUGAUGAUGGCAAUGCUGGAGCGGGAGGGAUCGCCCGCUCGUCCUCGGGCUUCAAGGCUAAGUGGCCUAGAUAUUUUAAGGCAACAAGAUUAUUUCCAACAGCAGCUAUCACCGCCACCACCGGCAAACGAGCUCCGUUGAUAAUGGACCGGCCGCCGAGACGAGAGGAGGUAGUCAUCCAGAUGCAGGUUGCCAGCACCGGAGAAAAAGAAGACACAUUGGCACAGCAUCAAGAAGACGGCACGGUGGCCUCCAAGAGCAGCACUCACUUCCAGGGAGAAUGCAGUGACGGCAGCGCACAUUGUACUAGUAGGUAG